Molecule: ribosomal RNA, 152 nt
Filed under: Colletotrichum destructivum
Lineage: Eukaryota; Fungi; Ascomycota; Sordariomycetes; Glomerellales; Glomerellaceae
Description: 5.8S ribosomal RNA
Rfam family: 5.8S ribosomal RNA
About the family: 5.8S ribosomal RNA (5.8S rRNA) is a component of the large subunit of the eukaryotic ribosome. It is transcribed by RNA polymerase I as part of the 45S precursor that also contains 18S and 28S rRNA.
Source: RNAcentral
AAACUUUUAACAACGGAUCUCUUGGUUCUGGCAUCGAUGAAGAACGCACGAAAUGCGAUAAGUAAUGUGAAUUGCAGAAUUCAGUGAAUCAUCGAAUCUUUGAACGCACAUUGCGCCCGCCAGCAUUCUGCGGGCAUGCCUGUUCGAGCGUC